This 111-nucleotide non-coding RNA is filed under the name Mycobacterium riyadhense. RNAcentral describes it as "Glycine sequence". It matches the Rfam family "Glycine riboswitch aptamer". Rfam says of the family: This family represents the bacterial glycine riboswitch. Glycine riboswitches usually consist of two metabolite-binding aptamers domains with similar structures in tandem. The aptamers cooperatively bind glycine to regulate the expression of downstream genes. The record is from RNAcentral. Lineage: Bacteria; Bacillati; Actinomycetota; Actinomycetes; Mycobacteriales; Mycobacteriaceae.
CGAGGCACCUCUGGAAAGCAGCCGUGCAAUGCGGCUCACCGACGGGGCAAGCGAAUCGUCACCAGACCGACGGUUCGCGAAACUCUCAGGUACAGCGACAGAGCGGGGAGG